AUUGAACGCUGGCGGCAGGCCUAACACAUGCAAGUCGAGCGGAUGAAGGGAGCUUGCUCCUGGAUUCAGCGGCGGACGGGUGAGUAAUGCCUAGGAAUCUGCCUGGUAGUGGGGGAUAACGUCCGGAAACGGGCGCUAAUACCGCAUACGUCCUGAGGGAGAAAGUGGGGGAUCUUCGGACCUCACGCUAUCAGAUGAGCCUAGGUCGGAUUAGCUAGUUGGUGGGGUAAAGGCCUACCAAGGCGACGAUCCGUAACUGGUCUGAGAGGAUGAUCAGUCACACUGGAACUGAGACACGGUCCAGACUCCUACGGGAGGCAGCAGUGGGGAAUAUCGGGCAAUGGGCGAAAGCCUGAUCCAGCCAUGCCGCGUGUGUGAAGAAGGUCUUCGGAUUGUAAAGCACUUUAAGUUGGGAGGAAGGGCAGUAAGUUAAUACCUUGCUGUUUUGACGUUACCAACAGAAUAAGCACCGGCUAACUUCGUG
RNAcentral lists this ribosomal RNA (484 nucleotides) under uncultured bacterium. Its description in RNAcentral is "partial 16S ribosomal RNA". It matches the Rfam family "Bacterial small subunit ribosomal RNA", at positions 30 to 507 of the family's 1533-position model. The record is from RNAcentral.